This is a non-coding RNA of Larimichthys crocea (large yellow croaker), 82 nucleotides long. The record is from Rfam. Lineage: Eukaryota; Metazoa; Chordata; Actinopteri; Sciaenidae.
GGUAGUGUGGCCGAGUGGUCUAAGGCGCUGGAUUUAGGCUCCAGUCUCGAUGGAGGCGUGGGUUCAAAUCCCACCACUGCCA